GAUGAACGCUGGCGGCGUGCCUAAUACAUGCAAGUCGAGCGAACGGACGAGAAGCUUGCUUCUCUGAUGUUAGCGGCGGACGGGUGAGUAACACGUGGAUAACCUACCUAUAAGACUGGGAUAACUUCGGGAAACCGUAGCUAAAACCGGAUAAUAUUUUGAACCGCAUGGUUCAAAAGUGAAAGACGGUCUUGCUGUCACUUAUAGGUGGAUCCGCGCUGCAUUAGCUAGUUGGUAAGGUAACGGCUUACCAAGGCAACGAUGCAUAGCCGACCUGAGAGGGGGAUCGGCCACACUGGAACUGAGACACGGUCCAGACUCCUACGGGAGGCAGCAGGAGGGAAUCUUCCGCAAUGGGCGAAAGCCUGACGGAGCAACGCCGCGUGAGUGAUGAAGGUCUUCGGAUCGUAAAACUCUGUUAUUAGGGAAGAACAUAUGUGUAAGUAACUGUGCACAUCUUGACGGUACCUAAUCAGAAAGCCACGGCUAACUACGUG
This 497-nucleotide ribosomal RNA is filed under the name uncultured bacterium. RNAcentral describes it as "partial 16S ribosomal RNA". It matches the Rfam family "Bacterial small subunit ribosomal RNA", at positions 28 to 507 of the family's 1533-position model. The record is from RNAcentral.